CACGUAGGGGGCGAGCGUUGUUCGGAAUUACUGGGCGUAAAGCGUGCGUAGGCGGCUAAUUAAGUCGGAUGUGAAAUCCCCGAGCUCAACUUGGGAAUUGCAUUCGAUACUGGUUAGCUAGAGUAUGGGAGAGGAUGGUAGAAUUCCAGGUGUAGCGGUGAAAUGCGUAGAGAUCUGGAGGAAUACCGAUGGCGAAGGCAGCCAUCUGGCCUAAUACUGACGCUGAGGUACGAAAGCAUGGGGAGCAAACAGGAUUAGAUACCCUGGUAGUCCAUGCCGUAAACGAUGUCUACUAGCCGUUGGGGCCUUUGAGGCUUUAGUGGCGCAGCUAACGCGAUAAGUAGACCGCCUGGGGAGUACGGUCGCAAGACUAAA
This 375-nucleotide ribosomal RNA is filed under the name uncultured bacterium. Its description in RNAcentral is "bacterial SSU rRNA". It matches the Rfam family "Bacterial small subunit ribosomal RNA", at positions 524 to 898 of the family's 1533-position model. The record is from RNAcentral.